Passer domesticus (house sparrow) is the source of this 2718-nucleotide long non-coding RNA. RefSeq lists it as uncharacterized. The record is from RefSeq and is a predicted model, not a curated record. NCBI's taxonomy places the organism in Eukaryota, Metazoa, Chordata, Aves, Passeriformes, Passeridae. The transcript has 3 exons.
CACGAUUCCAUUAAAACUCUGGACAGUGAGUUAGAAGCCUAGUAACUCAGCAUCUUGCACAGAGCAGAACAAACAAAUGCAGUGAAGUUCAGAAAUAUUGCUUGCUUUUGAUUUCAAGGGCUGUAUUAUCUUCUGUCUGUGUGUGUUUGAUUAGGUACUGUAAGCAAGAGUGUGGGAUGCAUUAAGAUAAUGAAAAGAUUGUCCACAGAAAGAAUGAAAAUGUAGACAUAUUUAUAGUUGAAUAAAUUAUUUGGAUAGUGUUUCAAGGCUGAAACACUGAUUAUCUGAUUUUCCCACUAACUUUUGUAAAACAAAAUUAAAAUACCAAUACUCUACACCAUAAAAAUCUAUUACCCUUCUCACCCCUUCCCCCAGGCCUUCUGAAUUGACUCUGGAAUAAAAUCAAGCUUUCUUCUAACCUUGGUAUGAAACACCAAGAUAAUGCCAUCUGGCAUAAUAUACACUGUGUCUAAAGUAUGAUUAACUGUGUCAUAGAUCAGGCAAUUUCUACUGCACUAUCAUCCAGCAUGAUGAGAAGAGACCAAAAAGGAUGCAGCAGUGGCACAGUAAGUGCUCAUCUCUGGAACUCAAAGUGUGACUACCCACCUCACCUAGCAUUCAUGUUGACUGCGUUCCUCGGCUUCCAUUCCUAUUAAUAAGCACCUGAUCAUAAAAGCGAGGAAUUUGGAGUGGAGUCUAUCAUGCCUGGGCCGGACAGACUUUGGACUUCUCGCCCCUUCUAUGACACUGUAUCAUCUCUUGUCACAUACAUCCAGGGAAACCAGGACUAUUUAGAAAAUCAGGUGAAAGCUAUGCACAAACAUGUUAUACUUAAAGAUCAUUGGAGGAAGCGCAAUCUUUCUCAUGUUGGUGUGCAUGUUAUACAGAGAAAAUGAAAAAUUGCAGCUUCAAGACAAUACAACAGAACAAAUAAGUAAUCAGACUGACAGUAAUCUCAGGAAACAACCUGAACUCCUAAUUGCAUCUGAACUGCUAUCGUUAAUUAGUUAUUAGAUCCACAUGGACCACUCACUCAUUCAAAGUCAGCAAGAUGUGAAGAGAGCAAACAGACAAGAGUUUUAGAGCACUUCAGAAAGAAGAGUCAGGAUGACAACUCUGUGUUUAUGGCAAGUUAAGCUAUCAUUCUGUUAGUAAAAAAUACUGACCUUUGCAGGUAGGUGGUGUUGUCCAUGUUCCAUUUUCCAAGCAAAUACUCCGCAGGGGCCCCUCCAGCAUGUACCCACUGUAGCAUGAAUAGGUGAUCAUGUCUCCAUACUGAUAGAAGCUACCGCGAAUCAGAGCAUUCUCUACAUGAGCUGGAGGACCGCAAGAUAUCUCUAAACAAAAGAAACCGUCCAGUUGUUGGUGAGCUGCAGAGCCUACAUGACACCGGUUUUAACCCUAGAGACAAUGCUGUUGCAGGGAGAUGUCACAGACACACCCCUGGUGGUAAAUCAGCAAUGGAGUCCAAGGAUCUGGACAAAUUUAAGAAGUGGACUCACGAAAAUCCCACGACGUUUAACAAGUCCGAGUGCAAAGUGCUGCACUCAGUUCAGGGCAAUACCAAACGUGAGUACAGACUGGGAGAAGAAGUCACUGAGAGCAACCCUGAGAAGGGCUUGGGGGUUCUUUAUGGUGAGAGGCUGGACAUGAACCGGCAGCUGCAUUUUUGGGUGCAGCCCCAAAAGCCACUGGUAUCCUGGGCUGCAUCAAAAGAAGUGUGACCAGCAGGGUGAGAAAGGGGAUUAUCUCACUCUAUUCUGCCCUUGUGAGACCCCAUUCGGAGUGCUGCAUCCAUCUCUGGGGUCCUCAGUACAAGAAAGAGUGGGUCCAGAGAAGGGACACAAAAAUGAUCAGAGGGAUGGAGCAUCUCUCCUACCCAGAAAGGUAAAGAGAGCUGGGAUUAUUCAGCAUGGAUCCAGGAGAAGGCUUCAGGGAGACCUCAUUGCAGCUUUCUUGUUUCUUAAGGGGUCUUAUUAAGAUGAGGUAGUAUUUAUAUGGGAAGAUAGAGACAGAACAAGAGGCGACGGUUUUAAACCGAAAGCGGCAUGUUUAGUUGAGGUAUCAGAAAGAAAUUUUUUACCCAGACAGUGAGGAGGUGCUGGAGCAGGUUGCCCAAGGAAGAUGUGGAUGCCUCACACGUGUAAGUGUUCAAGGCCAGGUUGGAUGGGACCAGAGCAACCUGAUUUAGUGACAUCCCUACCCAUGCCAGAGGGGCUGGAACUAGAUGAUCUUAAAUGUCCUUUCCAACCCAAGCCAUUCUGUGAUCCAUGAGUCUAAGCAGUAUUGCUUGCAAGAAGUCAAAAGGCUUUCCAACAUGCUUGCAAAAGGACACUGCUUUCUGUCAAUAUUAAUAAAUACUAUAAAAGGCAGCACCUCAUUCUGCAACUCUUGUAUCAUCACCCAUGAUCUCAGGGGAAUCAUUCUUAGGGUAUUUAGGGUAUUCAACAACUAAUCCAGCUCCAGGCUUGCAAACGGUAAAUUAAGAAUACAUUUACAGAAGGGUCUAGUAUAUAGUAGGAUGAAUACUGUUGAAGCACCAACCCACAUAGAUGUAUUCUGAGUCCUUUUAAAGGAACAACUCUGUUAGAAAGAAAGAAGACACAGCUCUUCUCUACAGCUUCUUAGAACCCUCUGGAAGAUACCAAUCCCUGUGGAAUGGUGUGUCUUGUACUUACUUUCACACUUAGCUGUGGCUGGAGUCCAGGUCUCAUCAGC